GGUGAAGUGACUAGACUACAGGAUUGAUGAUGAACAGUACCAGCAGUGGUAUGGGUGGAGGUGAAGUGACUAGACUACAGGAUUGAUGAUGGA
Molecule: non-coding RNA, 93 nt
Organism: Salvelinus sp. IW2-2015
Lineage: Eukaryota; Metazoa; Chordata; Actinopteri; Salmoniformes; Salmonidae
Source: RefSeq, a predicted model, not a curated record